GAUGAAGAACGUAGCGAAAUGCGAUACGUAAUGUGAAUUGCAAAUUCAGUGAAUCAUCGAGUCUUUGAACGCACAUUGCGCCCCCUGGUAUUCCGGGGGGCAUGCCUGUCCGAGCGUCAUUGCUGCCCUCAAGCACGGCUUGUGUGUUGGGCCCCGUCCUCCGAUCCCGGGGGACGGGCCCGAAAGGCAGCGGCGGCACCGCGUCCGGUCCUCGAGCGUAUGGGGCUUUGUCACCCGCUCUGUAGGCCCGGCCGGCGCUUGCCGAUCAACCCAAAUUUUUAUCCAGGUUCACCUCGGAUCAGGUAGGGAUACCCGCUGAACUUAAGCAUAUCAAUAAGCGGAGGA
This 345-nucleotide unclassified non-coding RNA is filed under the name soil metagenome. RNAcentral's name for it is "partial contains 5.8S ribosomal RNA, internal transcribed spacer 2, and large subunit ribosomal RNA". The stretch from base 1 to 119 matches the Rfam family "5.8S ribosomal RNA", at positions 35 to 154 of the family's 154-position model. The record is from RNAcentral.